RNAcentral lists this ribosomal RNA (549 nucleotides) under Stenotrophomonas sp. TK64. RNAcentral describes it as "bacterial SSU rRNA". It matches the Rfam family "Bacterial small subunit ribosomal RNA", at positions 363 to 903 of the family's 1533-position model. The record is from RNAcentral. Lineage: Bacteria; Pseudomonadati; Pseudomonadota; Gammaproteobacteria; Lysobacterales; Lysobacteraceae.
AUUGGACAAUGGGCGCAAGCCUGAUCCAGCCAUACCGCGUGGGUGAAGAAGGCCUUCGGGUUGUAAAGCCCUUUUGUUGGGAAAGAAAUCCAGCCGGCUAAUACCUGGUUGGGAUGACGGUACCCAAAGAAUAAGCACCGGCUAACUUCGUGCCAGCAGCCGCGGUAAUACGAAGGGUGCAAGCGUUACUCGGAAUUACUGGGCGUAAAGCGUGCGUAGGUGGUUGUUUAAGUCUGUUGUGAAAGCCCUGGGCUCAACCUGGGAACUGCAGUGGAAACUGGACAACUAGAGUGUGGUAGAGGGUAGCGGAAUUCCCGGUGUAGCAGUGAAAUGCGUAGAGAUCGGGAGGAACAUCCAUGGCGAAGGCAGCUACCUGGACCAACACUGACACUGAGGCACGAAAGCGUGGGGAGCAAACAGGAUUAGAUACCCUGGUAGUCCACGCCCUAAACGAUGCGAACUGGAUGUUGGGUGCAAUUUGGCACGCAGUAUCGAAGCUAACGCGUUAAGUUCGCCGCCUGGGGAGUACGGUCGCAAGACUGAAACUCA